This 70-nucleotide transfer RNA is filed under the name Makalata didelphoides (Red-nosed armored tree-rat). Its description in RNAcentral is "tRNA-His". It matches the Rfam family "tRNA". Rfam says of the family: Transfer RNA (tRNA) molecules are approximately 80 nucleotides in length. The record is from RNAcentral. Lineage: Eukaryota; Metazoa; Chordata; Mammalia; Rodentia; Echimyidae.
GUAGGUAUAGUUUAACUAAAACACUAGAUUGUGAAUCUAAUAAUAGAAGCAUAAAAACUUCCUAUCUACC